GGCUGACUUAGGGUCCGUUGUGUAUACGUAGUACAUCUCAGUAUCCACUCGUCUGUGGACGGGCGUUCUGUUUGCUUCCAUGUCUUUGCUGUUGUAAACAGUGCUUCAGUGAAGGAACAGGCCUGCUGGUACCGGCACUUCCAGCCUCACGGAGCCUGUCCUCUGCUCCGAGUGUCUGCUCCCAGAUAUUCCACCAACAUGUAAAGACUCCAAGGGCAGAAGGCCCUGUCACAGCGUCCUCUUGUUCUCCAUCGUGUCCGGGCAGCGCCUUCGCUCCCUUGGUGCUCACGUCUUUUUGGCAUGAAUGAAUGUCUCCACGUCCACUGCCACGAUUCAUGUCAAGAGCCACAGUCCCGACGUCUCCUGGCCUUUACGCUCCCGUAGCCCAGAAGUAUUGUCUUACAACAUCCUGCAGGAAUCUUUACCGUGCGGCCUGGGAGCAGAGAAUGCUGGUGGCAGGCAUCGAUGCCUAGGAUCAAUAUCACUGAGGUCAACAAGCAAGAUUUUCCCAGUAGUAACUUCACUGCAGACAGAGACAGAGGGAGGAAAUCUGCCGGAGGUCCCCAAACCAUGCAGCUGCGUGGGCUGAGAGCAGAAUAUUUCUACCACAUCGUUAUCCAUUCAUCUGUCAGUGGACAUUUUGCUACUGUAAACAGUGCUGCAGGGAAUCUUGUGAGCAUGUGCCUUUUCGAAGUGUGGUUUUCCCUGGACAGACACCCAGGAGUGGAACUACUGAAUCAUCUGGCAGGCAUCUGGAAUCCCAGCUUCCCGACAAGAGAUCAAAGCCUCAUCCUCUACAUUGGAAAGCGAAGCCUGAAGCAUCGAACCACCAGUGAAGUACCUCUUCUAAGAUUUUUAAGGAACCCCCACACUGAUCUUCCUAGAGGCUGUUACCACUGACAUGGCCACCAGAAGCCGGGGGUUUCCCUUUUAUCC
Cervus elaphus (red deer) is the source of this 936-nucleotide long non-coding RNA. RefSeq lists it as uncharacterized. The record is from RefSeq and is a predicted model, not a curated record. The transcript is spliced from 6 exons. Lineage: Eukaryota; Metazoa; Chordata; Mammalia; Artiodactyla; Cervidae.